RNAcentral lists this ribosomal RNA (498 nucleotides) under uncultured bacterium. RNAcentral describes it as "partial 16S ribosomal RNA". It matches the Rfam family "Bacterial small subunit ribosomal RNA", at positions 28 to 507 of the family's 1533-position model. The record is from RNAcentral.
GACGAACGCUGGCGGCGUGCUUAAUACAUGCAAGUCGAACGAGAGCGACCGGUGCUUGCACUGGUCAAUCUAGUGGCGAACGGGUGAGUAACACGUGGGUAACCUGCCCAUCAGAGGGGGAUAACAUCCGGAAACGGAUGCUAAAACCGCAUAGGUCUUCGAGCCGCAUGGCUUGAAGAGGAAAAGAGGCGCAAGCUUCUGCUGAUGGAUGGACCCGCGGUGCAUUAGCUAGUUGGUGAGGUAACGGCUCACCAAGGCCGUGAUGCAUAGCCGACCUGAGAGGGUGAUCGGCCACAUUGGGACUGAGACACGGCCCAAACUCCUACGGGAGGCAGCAGUAGGGAAUCUUCCGCAAUGGACGCAAGUCUGACGGAGCAACGCCGCGUGAGUGAAGAAGGUUUUCGGAUCGUAAAACUCUGUUGUUAGAGAAGAACAAGUGCUAGAGUAACUGUUAGCGCCUUGACGGUAUCUAACCAGAAAGCCACGGCUAACUACGUG